UCCCACACCGUCGAUCCUUCCUCUCUUCUCGUGAGUCCCCGCACCCCAACGGUCGCUCCUCCUCACGCGGACACCUCGCAACGCCACCUCUCCUCCUUCGCCAAGCCCUUCCUCCCCAACCCAAUCGCCGAUCUUCUUCCCUCUUGAGCCACAGUCGCCGGUUCUCCCUCGCGCGAGCACCAAAGACCCACGCCACCGCACCCGAUCGCACGGCAUUGCUCAAGCCGCCACUUGUAGGAGCCUCCUAACCCCUCUACCCCGCACCUAUAGGCCCGCUAGGUAUUCCUCUCUUCCGCCCCUUUCUCCGCACCGAUCGAUCUUCAGCGAAAGGGAAGAAAAUCCAAGCCCUAGCUUCGCCGGAUUUGGAGCUUGCUGGAUUCGGUGGAGGCUGGCAUUUCAGACUGUGAUCUCUUGCUCCAGAAUUUUGCUCUUGCCCCGGAACCUUAAUUUCGAGCUACAAUCGUGGAUCACAUCCCUGUCAAACUCAACAGCAACAUGUUGUGUUUCCGAUUGGAGAGAAAAUUUGGGGUAGUAGGUAGAUGAAUCAAGGAUGUUUGGGAGAGUCCUGGCUGCCAAUCCCACUACACAUUCGAGGACAGUUUAGUGCUUUCGCGAGUUUGCGUUGUAACUAGUUGAUGUGAAUUUCGGAGUCUAGUCUGGUGAUUGCAGGUAUUUUGGGUAAUUGUUUUGUUGGUUUUACAUUCGUAUAUUUCUUUUUGUGAUUUUCGCAGUGUUCACUUUUAACUGUGUGGGCUGCUUAUAAACUGUGUGGUUGUGUUUACUUUCAGCCAUAUGGGCUGCUUAUAAACUGUGUGGUUGUGCUUA
Long non-coding RNA from Zingiber officinale, 825 nucleotides. RefSeq lists it as uncharacterized. The record is from RefSeq and is a predicted model, not a curated record. The transcript has 2 exons. NCBI's taxonomy places the organism in Eukaryota, Viridiplantae, Streptophyta, Magnoliopsida, Zingiberales, Zingiberaceae.